UACGUAGGAGGCGAGCGUUGUCCGGAGUUACUGGGCGUAAAGCGCACGCAGGCGGUCAGAUCAGUCUGGAGUGACAGUCGUCGGCUUAACCGACGAAGUGUUCUGGAAACUGUCUGACUUGAGGGCUUCAGAGGGACACGGAAUUCCGGGUGGAGUGGUGAAAUGCGUAGAUAUCCGGAGGAACACCAAUGGCGAAGGCGAGUGUCCUGGGAACGUACC
RNAcentral lists this ribosomal RNA (219 nucleotides) under uncultured bacterium. Its description in RNAcentral is "partial 16S ribosomal RNA". It matches the Rfam family "Bacterial small subunit ribosomal RNA", at positions 524 to 740 of the family's 1533-position model. The record is from RNAcentral.